UACGGAGGGGGCAAGCGUUAAUCGGAAUUACUGGGCGUAAAGCGCACGCAGGCGGAUUGUUAAGUUGGAUGUGAAAUCCCCGGGCUCAACCUGGGAACUGCAUCUGAUACUGGCUAGCUUGAGUCUGGUAGAGGGGGGUGGAAUUCCAGGUGUAGCGGUGAAAUGCGUAGAGAUUUGGAGGAAUACCGGUGGCGAAGGCGGCCCCCUGGACGAAGACUGACGCUCAGGUGCGAAAGCGUGGGGAGCAAACAGG
This 253-nucleotide ribosomal RNA is filed under the name uncultured bacterium. RNAcentral describes it as "partial 16S ribosomal RNA". It matches the Rfam family "Bacterial small subunit ribosomal RNA", at positions 524 to 776 of the family's 1533-position model. The record is from RNAcentral.